CGUUUCUUUGUAGAUUUCGGUUGCUGUUCCCAGUUUGAGGAAGAUGUGCUGGGAUCUCGUCCAUCUGCUUCCGAACUGAAUAAUAGAAAAAUGAAAUUAAGCAUCAACAGCAAAAGUGGAUUGGGCUACAUCUUUUCUUACAGCAUCUAAUGAUGCGCUGGUGGACUCAUUGGCGAAGGUUUUUGGAAAAUGGUACGUGAGACACGUUCCGCAUAAAAGUUUCCGUAUGAUCUAAAGGAAAGAUCCAAGAGAUCUAAUUGAGCAAAUUAAAAAUCCAGUUGCAGCUCACUGUUGACACUGUAUGUCUUUGUCAUUGAAUAUUUCGUCAUAUAAAACAAUGGAAAAAAUUACAUUUUAUCGAUUAAUGAUAGGAACCUUUUUUCCCAAGGUUUUUAUAAGGAAAGCAUAACGUAGUGAAAUUGGGAAAUGGUUAACGCAACAACUGUCAUAAUAUAAUACCAAUUAGAUGGACGAAGAGAAGGUACAUAAAAUACAAAGAGUAAAAUGGACAAAGAACAGAUUAUAUAAAAUACAAAAAAAUAAAAUGAACGAGAUAUAAAAUACAUAUUACAAAAUACAAAUGCUAAGAUAUACUUUCUUUUAUUCAAGUUUCACUUCUUUAUCAAUUUUUGCAAAGAAGGCUAAGAAGAUCUGAAUGAUUACAAGCGUGCUGGUCAUGACGUAAGCGACGAUGACGAUCCUAAGGAUGACAGGUGUAACGACUUCGACGCAGCCAUUCGUAUUUAUGGUUUUCACGUCAGUCUCCGAGAUCUCCGUG
Bombus terrestris (buff-tailed bumblebee) is the source of this 778-nucleotide long non-coding RNA. RefSeq lists it as uncharacterized. The record is from RefSeq and is a predicted model, not a curated record. The transcript has 5 exons. NCBI's taxonomy places the organism in Eukaryota, Metazoa, Arthropoda, Insecta, Hymenoptera, Apidae.